CAGCCGCCGCGGUAAUACGAAGGGGGCUAGCGUUGCUCGGAAUGGCUGGGCGUAAAGGGCGCGUAGGCGGUUUUGACAGUCAGAUGUGAAAUUCCUGGGCUUAACCUGGGGGCUGCAUUUGAGACGUCAAGACUAGAGUGUGAGAGAGGGUUGUGGAAUUCCCAGUGUAGAGGUGAAAUUCGUAGAUAUUGGGAAGAACACCGGUGGCGAAGGCGGCAACCUGGCUCAUUACUGACGCUGAGGCGCGAAAGCGUGGGGAGCAAACAGGAUUAGAUACCCCCGUAGUCCCUGUCUCUUAUAC
Molecule: ribosomal RNA, 301 nt
Filed under: uncultured bacterium
Lineage: Bacteria
Description: partial 16S ribosomal RNA
Rfam family: Bacterial small subunit ribosomal RNA
Source: RNAcentral